AAGCGGCAACAGCUCAAAUUUGAAAUCUGGCUCCUUUUAGGAGUCCGAGUUGUAAUUUGCAGAGGAUGCCUCGGGUGCGGGUUCCUUCCGAGUUUCCUGGAACGGGACGCCAUAGAGGGUGAGAGCCCCGUCUGGUCGGAAACCCAGCCCGUGUGAGGCUCCCUCGACGAGUCGAGUAGUUUGGGAAUGCUGCUCUAAGGGGAGGUAUACUCCUUCCAAGGCUAAAUACCGGCUAGAGACCGAUAGCGCACAAGUAGAGUGAUCGAAAGAUGAAAAGCACUUUGAAAAGAGAGUCAAAUAGCACGUGAAAUUGUUGAAAGGGAAGCGCUUACUACCAGACUUGGGUUCGGCGGUUCAACCGGCGCCACGCGCCGGGGCACUCCGCCGGCCCAGGCCAGCAUCAGCUCUCUGUCGGGGGCAAAGGCGUCGGGAAUGUAGCUCCCCCUCGGGGAGUGUUAUAGCCCGGCGUGUCAUACCCUUCGGGGGGCUGAGGUCCGCGCUCCGCAAGGAUGCUGGCGUAAUGGUAGUCAGUGACCCGUCUUGAAACACGGACCAAGGAGUCAACCUUAUGUGCAAGUGCCCGGGCGUAAAACCCCAGCGCGUAAUGAAAGUGAACGUAGGUGAGAGCUUCGGCGCAUCACCGACCGAUCCCGAUGUCCUCGGACGGAUUUGAGUGAGAGCAUAUAGGGUUGGACCCGAAAGAAGAUGAACUAUGCGUGUGUAGGGUGAAGCCAGAGGAAACUCUGGUGGAGGCUCGCAGCGGUUCUGACGUGCAAAUCGAUCGUCAAACAUGCGCAUGGGGGCGAAAGACUAAUCGAAUCUUCUGGUAGCUGGUUUCCGCCGAAGUUUCCCUCAGGAUAGCAGUGUUGAUCCCAGUUUUAUGAGGUAAAGCGAAUGAUUAGGGACUCGGGGGCGCUUUUUAGCCUUCAUCCAUUCUCAAACUUUAAA
Molecule: ribosomal RNA, 948 nt
Filed under: Stachylidium bicolor
Lineage: Eukaryota; Fungi; Ascomycota; Sordariomycetes; Glomerellales; Plectosphaerellaceae
Description: partial large subunit ribosomal RNA
Rfam family: Eukaryotic large subunit ribosomal RNA
Source: RNAcentral